Molecule: long non-coding RNA, 1435 nt
Organism: Cynoglossus semilaevis (tongue sole)
Lineage: Eukaryota; Metazoa; Chordata; Actinopteri; Pleuronectiformes; Cynoglossidae
Exons: 5
Source: RefSeq, a predicted model, not a curated record
UCAUUUUUUAAUUUCAUUAUUUUUAUGUGUUUUAAGUGUUUAUUCAUGUUCACCUGAUAGCAGAGAUUACUGCACAUGUAGACAGGCACUUAAAAGGCACCUUUUGGGGUCUUUAUGGAUAAUUGGGCACCUGAUGUCAGUGACGUAAUGAUGUAGCGUCUGCGUGAUUUCAGAUUAGCGACUGGGACGAAAAACUAUAUAAAAGUUGAUUAUACAUACUGUGCGUGUAGUUUGAGACACUUAUUUACCGAACUAACAAGGCUUAUGUCGCUUAAUUACCUUACGCAACUCUGUGCACGUAUGUACGUCAUGUCAGCGUAAAAGUGGCGUUAAUAUAUAUUUUUUUAUUCCCCCCCAACUGUAUGUACAACAUACAUGAUUUGACACACCGUUACCGUGAGUGCGUUUGCCUGCAGCCCCCGGGUCAACAGAUCCUGAUCCGUGUGCUGGUGCAGGGGAUACGCGUGGUGGCUUAAUCUGCAUCCUAAAGCAAAAAGCCAUGUGUCAUAGUGGAAAAGUGGCCAGGACUUUUGCCUUACACCGGGAUUGUCACCGGUUUGAUGCCCAGCAGUAACAGAUGAUCGUUCCUUGUGGGGGCACUGCAUCGGCACAGAGAGCUGAGGGGGAAUGAAAACACCAAAGUACAGAGGACAAAUCAAGACAAAAGUGUUAAAGGCUGUGGAAGAAAAGAGGGCUUGAACCUGUGACCUUCCUGCUGUAAGGCAAGAGUGCUAACCACUUAGCUACUACGUGUUCUAGUAGGUAAGUAUGUUCUUUCUUGUUUUCCUUGUUGCCUAUGGGUUACAGUGAACACCACGCUACACAUCCUAGUCCCCCUGUAUUUCAAAAAUAUUUUUUUAAAUUAAAUUUCUUCACACUAUUCCAUGUUAUGCAAAAUUUUGACAUCUUGACUUGGGUGAUGGAGGUUGAUUUGUUCAAGGUGUCAAUUAUAUUGUCAGAUGAAAAAAAAAAGGCAAUUUGCUCAAUGAAUAGAGAAAAGCAGGACACCUCCCUGUGAAGACAGUCAUAGUUUAUGACUGGAGGCCAUGAAUCAAAGUCAGAAUCUAAACUGCUCAUUUAGACCUCGCGUCUCCUGCCAACUUGUUACGCUCCGUCCCACUCGCACUGGCCACCGCUGAAAGCAACAAUGGGAGGAGUGGAAACGUCCUGCACUUCUUCCCUGGCGUUCAGCUGAAAGCAUGACAGAUAUGUCGAGUGUGUGCUCUGGAAAACCUCAGCUGCCGGGAUAAUGUACGACUGCAACCAAUCCGGUGUUAGCCCUCAAGAGCCUGAGCACGUCCCGAGUUUGUGCCAAGAAUUGAUUAAAAACAGUCUCUCUACAUGUUUGCAUCGGUUCUUUCCUCAUUUUUUUCCUCCUCUUUUUUCCCCCGCAACCCUUUUGUCCAUCUAAGGCCCCCCCCCCUCAGAAAAGAAA